This is a non-coding RNA of Salmo salar (Atlantic salmon), 1035 nucleotides long. The record is from RefSeq and is a predicted model, not a curated record. NCBI's taxonomy places the organism in Eukaryota, Metazoa, Chordata, Actinopteri, Salmoniformes, Salmonidae.
AAUUAAGAAGAUGAGCACUUUACCCGCUGCGCCUUGGUCCAAUCCUUACGACGCCUAUGACAGUAGGGAGGGGUUGGUAAUCAUAUUUUUUUUUGUCUGAGAGGAAGCCAUCUUGAGCCCUAAUGGGUCCAGCAGCAUUAUGAGACAAGUAGAUGUGGAUCCGAAAAGUAGAUCAAGUGACAGCAAAAUGGCCACAUCAAUUAUGCAUACAGACAUGAUCUCAUAGUGGAUAAGAGUCUUUGUUCACAUGCACACUGUUUAACACUGAGUGUGGUGCCAUGCAAAUGGACACGAGGGACACAUUCGUUUUACAAUAAUGUAUCAGCAGAAGAACAAUAUGUUGCUCAAAAAACAAGUGUGACUAAUGUUGUGCAUUAUAUGAUUUGUUUUCAGAAUGCUGUAGCCCCUAAUAACGCAGUUAUGCAGAUUUGUCUCAAUUAUGUGGUUUAAUCAAGGGUAUCAACCUGAAAUAUUUGAUGAGAAUGAGAUGGAUCUAGAUGUGCAGGGUUAUAAAUGGGGAUGGACACUUGGUUGAAUUAUGGUCCUGACUUCUUUCUGUUCUUCCACAUGUGAUGUUCCCUUCAUGGUGGGCAGAGAAGAACUUUACAGUUUCACUCUGAGUCAUUGUCUACCCCUUCCUCUUUUCUAAGGCAUGUUGAGGGAAAUAAUAACAAAACAAGUUGUUUUUCUAUUACAGUUGUAAUGGGGAAGUACUAAUAAAUAACCAGCUUUGUUAGCCAUCUGGGGGUGAAACAUCACAUAUCUUAAAGCUGGUGUAUUCAGAGCUCAACUCUCCUACCAUGUUUCAGAGGAUCCAUGAACAUUUUACGGCACAUUUUAGAUAAAUACCAUCGGUGCGAGGAGUCAUUAUGAGCAAGGCAAUGGACCUAGAGUACCCUACCUUCUCUCUGGAGACAGUGGACAGGAAGAAUGAUGAGAAGGCACAGAGCAGACAGGUGAAGAAUCCUGACUGCCAUGGAGGAGGAACUGGAGAAUGCCAUACCCAAGAUCAGAUUCAAUCUCAACUUUGACAAG